RNAcentral lists this long non-coding RNA (997 nucleotides) under Homo sapiens (human). RNAcentral describes it as "long non-coding RNA NONHSAT159808". Lineage: Eukaryota; Metazoa; Chordata; Mammalia; Primates; Hominidae. The record is from RNAcentral.
CUACCAUCUGUCCAGACUUUUGAUCAUAGCUUUGAAAGUUUUUCCACUUCUGUGCCCUGCCAUGCAUUCAGAGAUUUUCAGAAGGACCCAAUGUAAUUGAAACAAAUUACAAAAAGUCCACAGCAGGCACACAGAGAGAAUGGGCUUUACCUUCAAAUGCAUAGCAGUUUGGGAAUAGGAACCACAGUUCAGAACUAAAGCCUUCUCUGGGAAAAAGAACAAAAUGCCGAAGAAGCAAUCCAAGGCAGAGUUAUGGGGUCUCUGUUCUCAUUCCCAAACCACAAAAUGAGAGCCUUCAAUACACUUAAGCAAAUGCCAUUCAAAUUUCACACCAAUUACACAGGGUCCAUGUAAUUGGACCAUAUCCUUCCUUUCCCCAUCACUGUGCUGGAAAGUUCUCAUUUGCCACUGUUUAGAACAAAGUAAGGGAGCUCCGCUGACUUAAGGUCAGCUUAGGGUAAGUAGCCUGGCACCAGUCCCAACAGAAGUUAGACUAUCCUCCAGCAAAGACCUGCUCAAGGCCAAGCCUCCGUUUAAUUACCAGGGGCCUGGCCAGUUAUUUAGAGAACAUCUCCUGUUCCUAGCAUGGAUAAUUGCUCAAAGCCAGCUUCCUGAAGCUGUCGUGUCCUUUUUCUGUCUGUCCUGGCAUCCCUUCAGGUUGUCUCUGCACUGCCAUGCUCAUCAGAAUCUUGUUGCUUGUGCACAUGGCUGCAGACCCUAUGAUCUCAGAAGCCCUGCUGCCAACAAAAUGGGCAAGUUCAUAGCUGUGGGCUUGCCGCUGCUGCUGAUGUCCCUGGCCCAGGAGUUUUCCAGUGUGUUGCUGCCACUACCCGGUGCAGCAGGGGUAGACUACACUACCUUAUUCCUCUCAUUGCAUGGGAUCUGGAGUAAGACAGCUGUGAGUAUGAUUCAUACGCUAAGCAAGUUUCAUUAUUUUGGCUGGGUUGGAUGUAAUGAAAUAAGCAGACAAACCAUGCACUUAGGCACCAGAAAAUCA